Molecule: unclassified non-coding RNA, 294 nt
Filed under: Saitozyma sp.
Lineage: Eukaryota; Fungi; Basidiomycota; Tremellomycetes; Tremellales; Trimorphomycetaceae
Description: partial contains 5.8S ribosomal RNA, internal transcribed spacer 2, and large subunit ribosomal RNA
Rfam family: 5.8S ribosomal RNA (bases 1-71)
Source: RNAcentral
GUGAGUCAUCGAAUCUUUGAACGCACCUUGCGCCCUCUGGUAUUCCGGAGGGCAUGCCUGUUUGAGUGUCAUGUAGACUCAAUCCCUCGGGUUUCCGAGGAGAUUGGACUUGGGUGUUGCCGCUCUGCCGGCUCGCCUUAAAAGACUUAGCGGGAUAGCACCGUAGUCGGCGUAAUAAGUUUCGUCGGUGAAGGUUGUGAUGACUGCUUACAAUCGCCCUUGGGCAAUUUUUGACUCUGACCUCAAAUCAGGUAGGACUACCCGCUGAACUUAAGCAUAUCAAUAAGCGGAGGA